CCUACGGGAGGCUGCAGUGAGGAAUAUUGGUCAAUGGGCUUACGCCUGAACCAGCCAAGUCGCGUGAGGGAAGACUGCCCUAUGGGUUGUAAACCUCUUUUGUCAGGGAGCAAUUGGCGCUACGUGUAGCGUUAUCGAGAGUACCUGACGAAAAAGCAUCGACUAACUCCGUGCCAGCAGCCGCGGUAAUACGGAGGAUGCGAGCGUUAUUCGGAUUUAGUGGGUUUAAAGGGUGCGUAGGCGGAAUGCCAAGUCAGCGGUAAAAUCGCGGGGCUCAACCUCGCUCCGCAGUUGAAACUGGCGUGCUUGAGUGUGCGAGAGGGAGGCGGAAUGCGUGGUGUAGCGGUGAAAUGCAUAGAUAUCACGCAGAACUCCGAUUGCGAAGGCAGCAUACCGGCGCCCAACUGACGCUGAAGCACGAAAGCGUGGGUAUCGAACAGGAUUAGAUACCCGAGUAGUC
Molecule: ribosomal RNA, 460 nt
Filed under: uncultured bacterium
Lineage: Bacteria
Description: partial 16S ribosomal RNA
Rfam family: Bacterial small subunit ribosomal RNA
Source: RNAcentral